GCUUAGAAGCAGCCACUCAUUUAAAGAGUGCGUAAUAGCUCACUGGUCGAGUGAUCCUGCGCCGAAAAUUUCCGGGGCUAAAACGUACUACCGAAGCUACGGCAUCAUUUAUGAUGGGUAGGGGAGCUUCGUAUGCAGGCUGAAGCAUGACCGUAAGGACAUGUGGACAGUAUACGAGUGAGAAUGUUGGCAUGAGUAGCGAGACGUGGGUGAGAAUCCCACGGGCCGUAAACCCAAGGUUUCCAGGGGAAGGUUCGUCCGCCCUGGGUUAGUCGGGACCUAAGCCGAGGCCGAAAGGCGUAGGUGAUGGACAACAGGUUGAUAUUCCUGUACCGCCAAUAAGCGUUUGAGAGAUGGAGUGACACAGUAGGAUAAGCUAACCGUACUGUUGGUUAUGUACGGCUAAGCAUUGAGGCAGUCUAAAUAGGCAAAUCCGUUUAGACAAUGCUAGGAUGUGAUGGGGAAGCCCUUCGGGGCGAAGUAGCUGAUUUCACACUGUCAAGAAAAGCUUCUAUCGAGUUUAAAGGCGCCCGUACCGUAAACCGACACAGGUGGGUGAGGAGAGUAUCCUAAGGCCAGCGAGAGAACUAUUGUUAAGGAACUCGGCAAAAUGACCCCGUAACUUAGGGAGAAGGGGUGCCUGUCUAUGACAGGCCGCAGAGAAUAGGCCCAAGCGACUGUUUACCAAAAACACAGGUUUCUGCUAAGUCGCAAGACGAUGUAUAGGAGCUGACGCCUGCCCGGUGCUGGAAGGUUAAGGGGAUCUGUUAGAGCAAUCGAAGCAGUGAACUUAAGCCCCAGUAAACGGCGGCCGUAACUAUAACGGUCCUAAGGUAGCGAAAUUCCUUGUCGGGUAAGUUCCGACCCGCACGAAAGGCGUAACGAUUUGGGCACUGUCUCAACAAUAGACUCGGUGAAAUUGUAAUCCCGGUGAAGAUGCCGGGUACCUGCGACAGGACGGAAAGACCCCAUGGAGCUUUACUGUAGCUUGACGUUGGGUCUUGGUACUACAUGUACAGGAUAGGUGGGAGACUAUGAAGCAUGGACGCCAGUCUGUGUGGAGUCAUCCUUGGGAUACCACCCUUGUAGUACUGGGAUCCUAACCAUAGGCCUUGAAUCAGGUCUUGGAACACCGUCAGGUGGGCAGUUUGACUGGGGCGGUCGCCUCCUAAAAAGUAACGGAGGCGCUCAAAGGUUUCCUCAGCACGGUCGGAAAUCGUGCGAAGAGUGUAAAGGCAAAAGGAAGCUUGAUUGCAAGACAUACAGGUCGAGCAAGGACGAAAGUCGGACUUAGUGAUCCGGUGGUACCGCAUGGAAGGGCCAUCGCUCAACGGAUAAAAGCUACCCUGGGGAUAACAGGCUUAUCUCCCCCAAGAGUUCACAUCGACGGGGAGGUUUGGCACCUCGAUGUCGGCUCAUCGCAUCCUGGAGCUGAAGUCGGUUCCAAGGGUUGGGCUGUUCGCCCAUUAAAGCGGUACGCGAGCUGGGUUCAGAACGUCGUGAGACAGUUCGGUCCCUAUCUGUCGUGGGCGCAGGAAAUUUGAGAAGAGCUGUCCUCAGUACGAGAGGACCGGGAUGGACGCAUCAAUGGUGGACCAGUUGUCACGCCAGUGGCAUAGCUGGGUAGCUAAAUGCGGAAGGGAUAAACGCUGAAGGCAUCUAAGUGUGAAACCCACUUCAAGAUGAGAUUUCCCAUUGC
This 1699-nucleotide ribosomal RNA is filed under the name human gut metagenome. Its description in RNAcentral is "bacterial LSU rRNA". It matches the Rfam family "Bacterial large subunit ribosomal RNA", at positions 1104 to 2820 of the family's 2925-position model. The record is from RNAcentral.